This 1319-nucleotide ribosomal RNA is filed under the name Legionella pneumophila str. Leg01/11. RNAcentral describes it as "bacterial LSU rRNA". It matches the Rfam family "Bacterial large subunit ribosomal RNA", at positions 441 to 1756 of the family's 2925-position model. Lineage: Bacteria; Pseudomonadati; Pseudomonadota; Gammaproteobacteria; Legionellales; Legionellaceae. The record is from RNAcentral.
AAGAUGGGUGGACCAUCAUCCAAGGCUAAAUACUACUUACUGACCGAUAGUGAACCAGUACCGUGAGGGAAAGGUGAAAAGAACCCCGGAGAGGGGAGUGAAAUAGAAUCUGAAACCGUUUGCGUACAAGCAGUGGGAGCAUAGUUUAGGCUGUGUGACUGCGUACCUUUUGUAUAAUGGGUCAGCGAGUUACUUUCAGUGGCGAGGUUAACUGAAUAAGGGAGCCGUAGAGAAAUCGAGUCUGAAUAGGGCGAUAGUCGCUGGGAGUAGACCCGAAACCGGGCGAUCUAGCCAUGUGCAGGAUGAAGGUUGGGUAACACCAACUGGAGGUCCGAACCGGGUAAUGUUGAAAAAUUAUCGGAUGACGUGUGGCUAGGAGUGAAAGGCUAAUCAAGCCCGGAGAUAGCUGGUUCUCCCCGAAAGCUAUUUAGGUAGCGCCUCGUGAAUGAUUACUGGGGGUAGAGCACUGUUUCGGCUAGGGGGCUGUCAUGGCUUACCAAACCGAUGCAAACUCCGAAUACCGGCUAAUUGAAUCACGGGAGACACACGGCGGGUGCUAACGUCCGUCGUGGAGAGGGAAACAACCCAGACCGCCAGCUAAGGUCCCCAAGUACUAGUUAAGUGGGAAACGAUGUGGGAAGGCAUAGACAGCCAGGAGGUUGGCUUAGAAGCAGCCACCCUUUAAAGAAAGCGUAAUAGCUCACUGGUCGAGUCGGCCUGCGCGGAAGAUGUAACGGGGCUAAAACUAGUCACCGAAGCUGCGGAUGUGCGCGAAAGCGCACGUGGUAGGGGAGCGUUCUGUAGGCUGAUGAAGGUGCAUUGAGAAGUGUGCUGGAGGUAUCAGAAGUGCGAAUGCUGACAUGAGUAACGAUAAUGUGGGUGAAAAGCCCACACGCCGGAAGUCCCAGGUUUCCUGCACGACGUUAAUCGGAGCAGGGUGAGUCGGCCCCUAAGGCGAGGCUGAAGAGCGUAGUCGAUGGGAACCAGGUUAAUAUUCCUGGACUUUUUAUAAGUGGUGAAGUGGGGACGAAGAAGGCUAGGUGAGCCAGGCGUUGGUUGUCCUGGUACUUGCAUGUAGGGGGGAAGACUUGGCAAAUCCGGUUUUCCAUAACUCUGAGGUGCGAAGUGGUUCUGACCUUUUGGUACAGAGAAGUCAUUGAUGCCCGGCUUCCAGGAAAAGCUGCUAGCCAUAACUUAUAGAGAACCGUACCGCAAACCGACACAGGUGGACAGGUAGAGAAUACUAAGGCGCUUGAGAGAACUCGGGUGAAGGAACUAGGCAAAAUGGUACCGUAACUUCGGGAGAAGGUACGCCCUUU